This is a long non-coding RNA of Phlebotomus papatasi, 1026 nucleotides long. RefSeq lists it as uncharacterized. The transcript is spliced from 3 exons. The record is from RefSeq and is a predicted model, not a curated record. NCBI's taxonomy places the organism in Eukaryota, Metazoa, Arthropoda, Insecta, Diptera, Psychodidae.
GAGGUUAUGUUUCGUUGUUUACAUUCAAGAAAUUGUUUUGUUGUAAAAAUAUCAGCUAAAAUAGCCGUUUUCAGAAUUAUUAGUGAUAUUUAUUAAAAUAUUUGUGGUAAAAAGUUAUCACAGGGCAAGAUUUAGUUAAAAACGACUGAAAUCAAGUGCCCUGUGAUGUGUGUAAAAGUGUUUUGAUGAUGAUUUCUGGGCAGAGUUUUUGAACAAAAAUCACCAGAAUACAUCAAUAAAGUACGUCCGCGAAACAAACAAAAAGAGUAUUAAGUGAAAGUAUACUAUUUGAAAGCUCCUGGACAUAUUGUUGGUUAAUUUUGAGUGCUCAUCCGAGUGCAAAUACAGUCCGGAGAGCUUCAAAUUUGAUACUGAAAUGAGCUUCCGGAAGGAGUUUUUAUAAAGAGCCAGAGACGGAGGAAAUUUCAGAUAGGCCACAGAAGAUGUUCCCAUUAAAUUAACAAGACAGGAAAGAAGUAACGAUGACUCUGGUUUAGUCGCGUUAGUACCACAGGAGUCGAAAUCAUCGUCGCCGUUGAAGACGUCCGGAAGGAGGAAAUUCAGCACAGAAGUGUCUGAAUUCGUGGAAAUUAUUCUGCAGGGAUAUUCCGGUGAGAAGGAGGCGACUGAUUGUCUUCAAUUUUUGGAGGAUUUUGGAAAAUUUGUACCCUCCACUCUUAAUUACGUAAGCGUCAUGAAACGUGGUGUAUUUCUUGUUGGACUUCUCACUCGAAGAGACUUCUCAUGGAUGUACAUCUCGUAGAACAGAACCUCCAAGAUAAAAGUUUGACGAAUGUCUUAUGGAUUUGAUUAGAUCAGCAUUAAUUCUGGCUAAGAUGGUAAACAGUAUCUUUGAGGUCAUACUAUAGUUUGCCUCCCCGGUUGGGCUGCUGCCUUAUCUAAUGGCCUGUACAGACAAAUGAAGGAUCGCAGUAUUUCCUGUGAGUUUUUGAUUUUGGGAUUAAGUAUAAUUCCUCUGCACUCACCCCGCAAUACAAAAUGCAUCACAUAUACUAGUAUCCCGAA